UACGAAGGGGGCUAGCGUUGCUCGGAAUCACUGGGCGUAAAGCGCACGUAGGCGGCUUUCUAAGUCAGGGGUGAAAUCCUGGAGCUCAACUCCAGAACUGCCUUUGAUACUGGAGAGCUUGAGUCCGGGAGAGGUGAGUGGAACUCCGAGUGUAGAGGUGAAAUUCGUAGAUAUUCGGAAGAACACCAGUGGCGAAGGCGGCUAUCUGGACCGGUACUGACGCUGAGGCGCGAAAGCGUGGGGAGCAAACAGG
Molecule: ribosomal RNA, 253 nt
Filed under: uncultured bacterium
Lineage: Bacteria
Description: partial 16S ribosomal RNA
Rfam family: Bacterial small subunit ribosomal RNA
Source: RNAcentral